Brassica napus (rape) is the source of this 684-nucleotide RNA transcript. It is a transcript of the gene named trihelix transcription factor GT-4-like, with no coding region annotated. The transcript is spliced from 4 exons. Lineage: Eukaryota; Viridiplantae; Streptophyta; Magnoliopsida; Brassicales; Brassicaceae. The record is from RefSeq and is a predicted model, not a curated record.
CACUAAACACCCCAUACGUGGCAAUUUUGUAUUGGCUAUUCCUUAAAGACGAAAGGAAAAAAAAUGGCCCAUCUCUCUCUCUCUCUCUUCGACGGUUCUUCUUUCUCUCUUCUUCUUUCUCUUUUGCAUGUUCUUCGUGAUCGAUCACCAGUUCCUCCUCCUCCAAAUCCGUCAAUGAAAUCACCGUGGAGAUUUUGUGCCAUCGAUUUGGUUCCAAUUCGAAAGACCCGGGAGAAAGGAAGAACAUGGAACCAAAUGAAACUGCAUAAAUCUUAUUAGGUGGUACACUCGCUUGACCGAGACAUGCAUCUAGGGAACUAUCCACUCCAUGUCGAUGAAGGUAAAAAUAGCUGUUAGAGUGUGCCACUAUGAUGAGUCUGAUCCAUUACCGGUUCAUCAAGAGGAGAAGGUGUCUUACACAGAAGAUGAUUACAGAGAGUUCUUGGGACGAAGAGGAUGGACAUGUCUGAGAGAGUUUGAUGGAGGGUUUAGGAACAUAGACGGUAUGGUUAGGAAUGUAGAUAGUAUGGAUGAUCUUCAACCUGGUGUCUUGUACCAUGGAAUGAGAUGAGAAAAUAAGUACUGCAGAAAGCUAGAAGAUAGACUCCUUUUUUGUGUGAAUAUGGUCAGAGACUGAUAGACUUUUAAAAAGCUUAAUCCAAGAUAUGUUGUUUGGUGGGUAAA